Molecule: ribosomal RNA, 598 nt
Filed under: Belondira sp. 803S-008
Lineage: Eukaryota; Metazoa; Nematoda; Enoplea; Dorylaimida; Belondiridae
Description: SSU rRNA
Rfam family: Eukaryotic small subunit ribosomal RNA
Source: RNAcentral
UUCUAACCGUAAACGAUGACAACCAGCGAUUAGUCGGCGUUAAUAUAUGACCCGACUAGCAGCUUACGGGAAACCAAAGUUUUUCGUUUCCGGGGGAAGUAUGGUUGCAAAGCUGAAACUUAAAGGAAUUGACGGAAGGGCACCACCAGGAGUGGAGCCUGCGGCUUAAUUUGACUCAACACGGGAAAACUCACCCGGCCCGGACACCGUCAGGAUUGACAGACUGAGAGCUCUUUCUUAAUUCGGUGGGUGGUGGUGCAUGGCCGUUCUUAGUUGGUGGAGCGAUUUGUCUGGUUAAUUCCGAUAACGAACGAGACUCUGGCCUAUUAAAUAGACGGUAUAUUCGAAUAGGUAUAUCGCGCUUCUUAGAGGGACAAGCGGCGUCCAGCCGCAUGAAAUAGAGCAAUAACAGGUCUGUGAUGCCCUUAGAUGUCCGGGGCUGCACGCGCGCUACACUGAAAGAAUCAGCGUGCGAUUUUAGCCUGAUUCGGAAGGAUCGGGUAACCCCAGCAAAUUCUUUCGUGCUUGGGAUAGGGAAUUGCAAUUAUUUCCCUUAAACGAGGAAUUCCCAGUAAAUGCGGGUCAUAAGCUCGCGUUG